This 3019-nucleotide ribosomal RNA is filed under the name Fusarium culmorum. RNAcentral's name for it is "16S ribosomal RNA". The stretch from base 30 to 2683 matches the Rfam family "Bacterial large subunit ribosomal RNA". The record is from RNAcentral. Lineage: Eukaryota; Fungi; Ascomycota; Sordariomycetes; Hypocreales; Nectriaceae.
AGCUACAUAUUAAAGAGAUUUAUUUAUAUAAAUAGGCUUGCUAGCUGAUUGUAUAUAUAUGCUGGCCGUAUUUCAUAGCAAGCUCGCUUUUAAUAGGCAACCAGUAAUAUGAGCAAUUCUUUACCUACAAGCCUAUAAUUAUAUUAACUCUAAGAGAAAUCUAAUAAUAAACGGAGUGAAUUGAAAUAUCUUAUUAACUUCAGGAAAAGAAAUCAAAAGAGAUUCUAUGAUUAGCGUGAGCUAAAAUAGAGUAGCCUAGAAAGUCAAAUGGUGGAUAAACUGUUUAAAUUUAAUGGGGAACCUUCCUCAAAGGCUAAAUAUAAUAUGUAAGCGAUAGUGGAAAGUACCGUGAGGGAACCAAAACAAAAACAGUGAUUUUAUAAGCAGUUCGGAAAAAUAAAAAAGUUAGAACGUACCUUUUGCAUAAUGGGUCACCAAGUUAACAUUAGAUGCGAGAUUCUACGUAGUUAAACCGAGCGUUAAAAUAACGGUAAGUGUCUAAAGUUAGACCCGAAGCCUGGUGAUUUUACCAUAAUCAGGAUUAUAAAAGUCCGAACGGAAUAUUGUAGCAUAAAUAUCCGAAGAAUUAUGGUAGGUGUAGUGAAAGACAAUACUGACCAGGAUAGCUGGUUUUCUGCGAAACCUAUAACAGUAGGCAAUUUAAGUAUAAUAUCUUAGCAGGUACAGAAUUUAAUCUCAGACAAGACAUAAGGCUUAACUUGUUAACAAGUUAAGCCCAUGUUUUAUUUUGUACAAAUUGGGGGAUCAUGAAGAUUUUAUCAGUGAGUAUGUAGACUCGGAAUGGCAAAGAUAUAUCUUAAAUCAUCAGACAUAGAAUGAUAAGGUUGUAUGUCAAAAGGGAAACAGCCCAGAACAAGAGUUAAGGUUCCUAAAUUAUUAGUUGAGUGAAAUUAAGAAGGUUUUUAUUAAAGUCGACAAGGAGAUAGGCUUAGAAGCAGCCAUAAUUUUAUGACCUCGUAACAGAGCGCUUGUUAAGUUUUAAAAGCAUCGAAAAUUUAUCGGAUCUAAACAAUAUACCGAAACCUUGUCCAUAUUAUUUUAUAAUUAAUAGUCUCAGCAAGCUCGGACUAUACAAUUAUAAUUAAAUGGGGUAGCAGAACGUUGAGCUAAAUUAAGAUUUUUAUUUUUUAAAUGAAAUUAUAAUAAUUUAACUCAAGUGAUAAUGGUGACAUGAGUAACUAAAAGAAAAUUUUCCGCCUAAAGCUUAUGGAUGUAAUUAAGUAACGGCCUCUAAGUUUAUGGAAUCAAAAGAUUAAAACGAUGAGACAAUCUUUCAUACUAAGGACGACAUUUUAAGUGCAAAAUGUACUGGAAAAAUAGUAAUAAGUUUAAGCUAUGGCUAGAACUAGCUAUAGCUGUAAAUGGAAAGUAACCGUACCUAGAAUCUGAAACAAGUAAGCUAGUAGAGAAUACGAAGGCGUAAAUGAGCUAACAAUCAUAAAGGAACUCGGCAAAUUGACUACCGUAACUUCGGGAUAAGGAGAGCUCAUUAUUCUUGAUUAAUAUCAGGUAAAGAGGAAGAAGCAUGAAAUAGUGUUGUACGACUGUUUAAUUAAAACACAGCACUUUGCUGAAAGAUUAAAAAUCUAAGUAUAGAGUGUGAUGUCUGCCCGGUGCCGGCUGGUUAACAGAUAUAAUUAAAUAUACUAAUAUUUGAUGUAGACGGAAACCCCGGUUAAAGGCGGCCUUAACGUGAGGGUCCUAAGGUAGCGAAAUGCCUUGGCCGUUAAAUGCGGUCUUGCAUGAAUGAUGUAACGAUACAACAGCUGUCUCUAUGAUUGACUCAGUGAAAUUGGAAUAGCUGUGCAGAUACAGUUUACCUCUAGUUAGACGAGAAGACCCUAUGCAGCUUUACUGUCACUAAUUAUAGAGUAUGAUAAACAAUUUUCAGUUUAUAAGGUAAUUGACGGCCGGCUUGCUUAGCAAGCUGGCUCUAUGACAAUGAGAAUCCUUUAUUUUUUUUUCAUAUGAAUGAAUUGGUUUAGGACGAGCUUAAGCUCGUAGUAAAUCAACCUAAUUCAGCUUAUUUUCCUUUCUGCUGUAAGCGCAUAAUGAUAGAUUAUACUUAAAUUUGGAUUUAUGCCUGCAGAAAUAGAUAAGUACCCUUGGUUAAGGAACUAUCGCUAGGGGACAGUUUAUGUGGGGCACAGACCCUGUAAAGAGUAAACAGGAGUGUCUAAUAAUUUAUAAUUAUUUUGUUUGCGAUUUAAGGUAGUAGAACUAUUUUUAAUCAUAUAAAAUUAUUUAUAUGUACAUUCGUUGUAUAUAUAUUUAAAAAAAGGUAGGAUUUUCACUAUAUAGAAAUUAGAGAUAAUAAAAAUAUUAAGUAGUAGCUGCUGAGUCCUAAUCCCGCCGAAGGGGGGAUAUGGACUACUAUGUAUUUCAUAGCAAGCUCGCACUAAUAUUUUUUAACUAUUAAGACUGGCUAUCUAGCUAUGCUCUAAUAGUUAUGUUUUAAUUAUCUAAAAAGCUCAACGGCUAAAUCUUGCCUUACUGUUUGAUUAUCAACAAAUCUUACAGUUGCGUAAGCAGGGCAUAGGAUCACAAGAUGCAACAAGGAAAGAUCUUGGAUUAUUGGAAAAGCUACGCUAGGGAUGUUUGUCCUUUAAUAUUUUAUUUCACUGUGGUAUGGGUCAUAGUCCUACGGACUCAGCUUUUUUUAAAAAAAAAAUACGAGCUUGCUAUGAAGAGCGGACUUCGUUCUAGCGAAGCUAGCCCCCUAUUCCCUAUUCCCUGACCCCCUACGGGGGUAGGGAAUUAGAGAAUCAGGAAUCAGCCAGCAUAUUUUUUCGGAGAAAAAAUCCGCCCGCUGAGACUUCGUCUACCCGUGCUAUAUUGAGAAGUAAAAAUAAUUAAUAAUAUAUUGGGUUAAUUUCAAAAAUUACUUACGCGUUGCUUUACGAGACUCCGUCUAUAAAGCUCGCUAUGUAAAUUUGAAGCGAAAUUUAUCUUAGCAUAAAUUAUAAGAUAAAGACGUUCAACGACUAUAAGGUGAGUU